GAAACGACUGCUAAGACUGGAUAGGAGACAAGAAGGCAUCUUCUUGUUUUUAAAAGACCUAGCAAUAGGUAUGCUUAGGGAGGAGCUUGCGUCACAUUAGUUAGUUGGUGGGGUAAAGGCCUACCAAGACUAUGAUGUGUAGCCGGGCUGAGAGGUUGAACGGCCACAUUGGGACUGAGACACGGCCCAAACUCCUACGGGAGGCAGCAGUAGGGAAUUUUCGGCAAUGGAGGAAACUCUGACCGAGCAACGCCGCGUGAACGAUGAAGUAUUUCGGUACGUAAAGUUCUUUUAUUAGGGAAGAAUAAAUGAUGGAAAAAUCAUUCUGACGGUACCUAAUGAAUAAGCCCCGGCUAACUAUGUGCCAGCAGCCGCGGUAAUACAUAGGGGGCAAGCGUUAUCCGGAAUUAUUGGGCGUAAAGGGUGCGUAGGCGGUUAAAUAAGUUUAUGGUCUAAGUGCAAUGCUCAACAUUGUGAUGCUAUAAAAACUGUUUAGCUAGAGUAAGUUAGAGGCAAGUGGAAUUCCAUGUGUAGUGGUAAAAUGCGUAAAUAUAUGGAGGAACACCAGUAGCGAAGGCGGCUUGCUGGGUCUUUACUGACGCUGAGGCACGAAAGCGUGGGGAGCAAACAGGAUUAGAUACCCCUGGUAGUCCACGCCGUAAACGAUGAGUACUAAACGUUGGGUAAAACCAGUGUUGAAGUUAACACAUUAAGUACUCCGCCUGAGUAGUACGUACGCAAGUAUGAAACUUAAAGGAAUUGACGGGACUCCGCACAAGCGGUGGAUCAUGUUGUUUAAUUCGAAGGUACCCGAAAAACCUCACCAGGUCUUGACAUGCUUCUGCAAAGCUGUAGAAACACAGUGGAGGUUAUCAGUUGCACAGGUGGUGCAUGGUUGUCGUCAGCUCGUGUCGUGAGAUGUUGGGUUAAGUCCCGCAACGAGCGCAACCCUUAUUGUUAGUUACCAGCACGUAAUGGUGGGGACUUUAGCAAGACUGCCAGUGAUAAAUUGGAGGAAGGUGGGGACGACGUCAAAUCAUCAUGCCCCUUAUGACCUGGGCUACAAACGUGAUACAAUGGCUGUUACAAAGGGUAGCUGAAGCGCAAGUUUUUGGCGAAUCUCAAAAAAACAGUCUCAGUUCGGAUUGAAGUCUGCAACUCGACUUCAUGAAGUUGGAAUCGCUAGUAAUCGCGAAUCAACAUGUCGCGAUGAAUACGUUCUCGGGGUUUGUACACACCGCCCGUCA
RNAcentral lists this ribosomal RNA (1247 nucleotides) under Candidatus Phytoplasma asteris-related phytoplasma. Its description in RNAcentral is "bacterial SSU rRNA". It matches the Rfam family "Bacterial small subunit ribosomal RNA", at positions 153 to 1399 of the family's 1533-position model. Lineage: Bacteria; Bacillati; Mycoplasmatota; Mollicutes; Acholeplasmatales; Acholeplasmataceae. The record is from RNAcentral.